This 2781-nucleotide ribosomal RNA is filed under the name Escherichia coli. RNAcentral describes it as "partial 23S ribosomal RNA". It matches the Rfam family "Bacterial large subunit ribosomal RNA". Lineage: Bacteria; Pseudomonadati; Pseudomonadota; Gammaproteobacteria; Enterobacterales; Enterobacteriaceae. The record is from RNAcentral.
GGGUUGUGAGGUUAAGCGACUAAGCGUACACGGUGGAUGCCUUGGCAGUCAGAGGCGAUGAAGGACGUGCUAAUCUGCGAUAAGCGUCGGUAAGGUGAUAUGAACCGUUAUAACCGGCGAUUUCCGAAUGGGGAAACCCAGUGUGAUUCGUCACACUAUCAUUAACUGAAUCCAUAGGUUAAUGAGGCGAACCGGGGGAACUGAAACAUCUAAGUACCCCGAGGAAAAGAAAUCAACCGAGAUUCCCCCAGUAGCGGCGAGCGAACGGGGAGCAGCCCAGAGCCUGAAUCAGUGUGUGUGUUAGUGGAAGCGUCUGGAAAGGCGCGCGAUACAGGGUGACAGCCCCGUACACAAAAAUGCACAUGCUGUGAGCUCGAUGAGUAGGGCGGGACACGUGGUAUCCUGUCUGAAUAUGGGGGGACCAUCCUCCAAGGCUAAAUACUCCUGACUGACCGAUAGUGAACCAGUACCGUGAGGGAAAGGCGAAAAGAACCCCGGCGAGGGGAGUGAAAAAGAACCUGAAACCGUGUACGUACAAGCAGUGGGAGCACGCUUAGGCGUGUGACUGCGUACCUUUUGUAUAAUGGGUCAGCGACUUAUAUUCUGUAGCAAGGUUAACCGAAUAGGGGAGCCGAAGGGAAACCGAGUCUUAACUGGGCGUUAAGUUGCAGGGUAUAGACCCGAAACCCGGUGAUCUAGCCAUGGGCAGGUUGAAGGUUGGGUAACACUAACUGGAGGACCGAACCGACUAAUGUUGAAAAAUUAGCGGAUGACUUGUGGCUGGGGGUGAAAGGCCAAUCAAACCGGGAGAUAGCUGGUUCUCCCCGAAAGCUAUUUAGGUAGCGCCUCGUGAAUUCAUCUCCGGGGGUAGAGCACUGUUUCGGCAAGGGGGUCAUCCCGACUUACCAACCCGAUGCAAACUGCGAAUACCGGAGAAUGUUAUCACGGGAGACACACGGCGGGUGCUAACGUCCGUCGUGAAGAGGGAAACAACCCAGACCGCCAGCUAAGGUCCCAAAGUCAUGGUUAAGUGGGAAACGAUGUGGGAAGGCCCAGACAGCCAGGAUGUUGGCUUAGAAGCAGCCAUCAUUUAAAGAAAGCGUAAUAGCUCACUGGUCGAGUCGGCCUGCGCGGAAGAUGUAACGGGGCUAAACCAUGCACCGAAGCUGCGGCAGCGACGCUUAUGCGUUGUUGGGUAGGGGAGCGUUCUGUAAGCCUGUGAAGGUGUGCUGUGAGGCAUGCUGGAGGUAUCAGAAGUGCGAAUGCUGACAUAAGUAACGAUAAAGCGGGUGAAAAGCCCGCUCGCCGGAAGACCAAGGGUUCCUGUCCAACGUUAAUCGGGGCAGGGUGAGUCGACCCCUAAGGCGAGGCCGAAAGGCGUAGUCGAUGGGAAACAGGUUAAUAUUCCUGUACUUGGUGUUACUGCGAAGGGGGGACGGAGAAGGCUAUGUUGGCCGGGCGACGGUUGUCCCGGUUUAAGCGUGUAGGCUGGUUUUCCAGGCAAAUCCGGAAAAUCAAGGCUGAGGCGUGAUGACGAGGCACUACGGUGCUGAAGCAACAAAUGCCCUGCUUCCAGGAAAAGCCUCUAAGCAUCAGGUAACAUCAAAUCGUACCCCAAACCGACACAGGUGGUCAGGUAGAGAAUACCAAGGCGCUUGAGAGAACUCGGGUGAAGGAACUAGGCAAAAUGGUGCCGUAACUUCGGGAGAAGGCACGCUGAUAUGUAGGUGAAGUCCCUCGCGGAUGGAGCUGAAAUCAGUCGAAGAUACCAGCUGGCUGCAACUGUUUAUUAAAAACACAGCACUGUGCAAACACGAAAGUGGACGUAUACGGUGUGACGCCUGCCCGGUGCCGGAAGGUUAAUUGAUGGGGUCAGCGCAAGCGAAGCUCUUGAUCGAAGCCCCGGUAAACGGCGGCCGUAACUAUAACGGUCCUAAGGUAGCGAAAUUCCUUGUCGGGUAAGUUCCGACCUGCACGAAUGGCGUAAUGAUGGCCAGGCUGUCUCCACCCGAGACUCAGUGAAAUUGAACUCGCUGUGAAGAUGCAGUGUACCCGCGGCAAGACGGAAAGACCCCGUGAACCUUUACUAUAGCUUGACACUGAACAUUGAGCCUUGAUGUGUAGGAUAGGUGGGAGGCUUAGAAGUGUGGACGCCAGUCUGCAUGGAGCCGACCUUGAAAUACCACCCUUUAAUGUUUGAUGUUCUAACGUUGACCCGUAAUCCGGGUUGCGGACAGUGUCUGGUGGGUAGUUUGACUGGGGCGGUCUCCUCCUAAAGAGUAACGGAGGAGCACGAAGGUUGGCUAAUCCUGGUCGGACAUCAGGAGGUUAGUGCAAUGGCAUAAGCCAGCUUGACUGCGAGCGUGACGGCGCGAGCAGGUGCGAAAGCAGGUCAUAGUGAUCCGGUGGUUCUGAAUGGAAGGGCCAUCGCUCAACGGAUAAAAGGUACUCCGGGGAUAACAGGCUGAUACCGCCCAAGAGUUCAUAUCGACGGCGGUGUUUGGCACCUCGAUGUCGGCUCAUCACAUCCUGGGGCUGAAGUAGGUCCCAAGGGUAUGGCUGUUCGCCAUUUAAAGUGGUACGCGAGCUGGGUUUAGAACGUCGUGAGACAGUUCGGUCCCUAUCUGCCGUGGGCGCUGGAGAACUGAGGGGGGCUGCUCCUAGUACGAGAGGACCGGAGUGGACGCAUCACUGGUGUUCGGGUUGUCAUGCCAAUGGCACUGCCCGGUAGCUAAAUGCGGAAGAGAUAAGUGCUGAAAGCAUCUAAGCACGAAACUUGCC